AGGCUCGGGUUCGAUUCCCGGUACGGG
Molecule: small RNA, 27 nt
Filed under: Bombyx mori (domestic silkworm)
Lineage: Eukaryota; Metazoa; Arthropoda; Insecta; Lepidoptera; Bombycidae
Description: ovarian small RNA-4566
Source: RNAcentral